Molecule: long non-coding RNA, 3098 nt
Organism: Meleagris gallopavo (turkey)
Lineage: Eukaryota; Metazoa; Chordata; Aves; Galliformes; Phasianidae
Source: RefSeq, a predicted model, not a curated record
GCGAGGGCUUCUCGCACCGUCCCCUGGGCGAUGCCGUGUCCCGGCUACGUCCCGCGGGCCGCAGCUACAAGGCUGGAAGCUGGGCGAGUUACCGAAGCGAUAAGCGCAGGUAGAGUUGGGUCACACCGCAGAGCGCACAGGAGACACUCUUGCAUCAGAGCAGUGUGCCUGGUAUCUCCUGCUGCCAGCCAUCGCCUCUCCUUAUAGCCUGUCGUCGAUGUGUUGCUUACAGCUUGCUUCAGAGCCGUGUUAAUUGCGUUACUGAACACAGAAGGGUGUGUGUGUGUGCAAGGGACCUGCUUGUACGUUUGUGUCAAACACUUCUUUUAGCUUGACCAUGAGAAGACCACAUGCAUGCUAAGCAAUAGAUUUAUACCAUCUAACAAAGCCUCCUUAUGAUCUUUCAUCCUCUAGCCGGGCUGAUGGAGGAAUAAAAACUGUCAUCUGACGCCUGUCUGGUGACAUUCACAUAAGGAGUGCUGUUUGCCGGGUUCCUGGUGCAGAAUUGUCUACAAAAGCUUGCUCUGCAGCAGGCACAUACCUACACGGUGUUCCUCUUAGGGAGGAUGCUGUCAUGUCAGGUCCGCAACGUGGUCAUCAGAGCAUUACACCGCAUCCGACACCUGGGCCCGCCUGGCCGUGUGUCCUUUCCCUUGUACUAGAUGGUAUCAGCUCCUGCAGAGGAUAUAAAACCUGUACCCCUGGAGCGUGAAAUUUAUAUCCUUAUAAGAAUCUCUUAUCUGAUGGACAGGCAAAAUGUGUUACAAAAGCCUCAUCCUCUUCUGUCUUCACCACCCUCCACCUCUCUUUUCUUUUUAGACUUGUGACAGUGAUGAUAUUGUAACAUAUCGACGGCAAAAGCACUGUCAGAGCAAAACAUGUGAUACUGCCUGUUGAAGGGAAGAGGAUGAACGAUUUCAGCUUUCAGUGUUGUGCGAACAGACACGAAGAAGAAAAUCAAUUUUUAUUAUCUUGUCAUUUAGUUUUGUAGUAUUGUUAUCUUACUGGUUUGGAAAUAAAGUUAAUUCUUAGGAAAAGAAGUUUAAAAACAACAAAUAGGCUGUAUUAAUUGUUCUGAGAUAAUAAAUAGGAUGAUAUUUGUUCGGCUGGUAUGACAGCUGUUCAGGCUUUUCCAAAUUGGAAAAUCAUUCUGUCAUAAGUACAGAGCUACAUGUGGGAGGAGAGGUUGCUCAGUUAAGCUUGCCUAAUUGUCAGAAACAAAUUACAAACAGCCCAAAAUACUUCCAAAGGAAAGCACUGCACAAAGCGGUUUUUUUUUUCUUUUUUUUCUUAUCUUUUAAAUAGUUUUCCAUCUGUUGCAGGAAAGGAGCACUUGGCCUGGUGUUCCAGUGCCCCAGUGCCCAGCAAGCUGUGAAUUCAAACCGUGUGACCAACCAACUGUACAUGUUUUCUUUAUUGUUUUUUUCAUAAACUGAAACUUUGGUUUUCUGGUAUCAGAGUCCAUAAUGUGCCAUUAGACUCAGAUAAGUGCAGCAGAAUGGGAGAGGUAUCACCUGGCUCCCCUGAAGGUGUGCAAAGGUUUUUAAUGACUAAGGGCAGAGGAAAUCAUUUGUCUUCUGUGUUGCAGCUUCUCCUUUGACUUUUUGCUUAUCUGCAGACCAAAGCUGAAUUGUGUUAAUACUUUAGAACAGACUGUGUAUGUGUGUGUCUUCAGAAGUCUCCUCUUACAGAAGUCUAUGGUGCUGAAGGUGUGUGUGAAGGAAUGAAUGCCUUUUUUCAUUCUACCAGGUCUGCCUUACAGUGAAUACGUCUAAUGAGCUAAUUAAAAAUGCAGGGAAAUCCGGGAAAGCAGUGAAGAAACAACAGAAAUGCAUUUCCAAGUGCAAGAAUAGCAAGGUCAGUUUUUUGAAAUACUGCUAGUUUUUAGGGAGUGGUAGAAAUCAGUCACAGAAUUGUGGGACAGGCCACAUGUGACCCUACUGUAUCUAUCUGUUGUGUAAAACUGCUCGAGUUACUAAAAACAUGUAUUAAGUUUUAGGAGUUUCCCUUUCAAUUAAUGACUCUGCUAUACAGAACUCCUAGUCAGGAUGAAAAUCAUAAUCACAUGUAAGACUUCAGAGGAAAGAAGAUACUGAAAGAGAAACUGAAAAACUGAAGAUGUUGCGCUUGCAAGCAAGGGUGUGGGGCUGUUCGUUUUGUUGUAUAUGGCGGUUGAUGGCCAUGGUGGAAGCAGACAGAACCCAGCAGUGCACAGCAAGUCUUUAAUUAACAGGUCUGACUGAUGACUAGCUCUUCCGAUUUUCUACGAGAGAUUUGAAGACCACUUCGAGAAGACUGUCAGAAGUCUCAAGGUGAAAUGUUUGCUUCUGGACCAUUUUUGGAAAGAAGGCAGAAUCUGCAGCAUGAAGGCUGGCCUGGCAUGUGAUUUGAAUCUAGAUGGGAAUCAUGAUCAGCUCAAAAAUUUAAUAAAGUCUCUUCUUGUACCAUCCUGCCUACUUGGAGCUGGCUCGAAAGUACUUCCAGCUUUCAAGACAAGUAGUUGAUUGAAAAUUAAUGUCUUCUCUUUACUUCCAUGGAAACUACAACAGAUACAAAGAGCACAACACCACUGUUUGAUAGAGCAAAUUCUCAGCUACAGAACACUAUUUUUCAGUAUAAUUUCUACUAUUUGUUCUGCAGUAGUGAAUGGCCUGCAUUCUGCACUCAUUAAAAUCUGCAUAGCCAUCCAGAACAUGGCUUGUCUUUUAUGUCACUGUUACUACUCCUAAAACACAACACCCCCUGCCUCACUGUGCUUGCAUCCACUGUUUGGUCUCCAUCAACUUUCAGGAAGCAUUGAUGAAUGUCAGCGGGUGCCAUUUUUUCCAAGUGGAGGAAUUCACCUUUGCUUUGUCCGUUUUUCAUGUCAGAUGCCAUUUCAUCAGAGUGCCCCUCUGUUGCUAUCUGUCACACAGCAACAAAAUGUAUCAGGAUAUUGAUGGAAAGGUUCAACCUCUACUGCUAUAUCACCACCAUCUGCCUUUGAUAUCGUGGGUGAACACAAUAAAAUGGAAGGCAUUGCUUUUGGAGCAGCCCUAGUAAAUUAACAAUAAAUAGUGCUAUGCAAUGACUUUUUCCUAAUAAACAAUGUGGCUGGA